This 791-nucleotide ribosomal RNA is filed under the name Limosilactobacillus fermentum. RNAcentral describes it as "bacterial SSU rRNA". It matches the Rfam family "Bacterial small subunit ribosomal RNA", at positions 27 to 774 of the family's 1533-position model. Lineage: Bacteria; Bacillati; Bacillota; Bacilli; Lactobacillales; Lactobacillaceae. The record is from RNAcentral.
GGAUGAACGCCGGCGGUGUGCCUAAUACAUGCAAGUCGAACGCGUUGGCCCAAUUGAUUGAUGGUGCUUGCACCUGAUUGAUUUUGGUCGCCAACGAGUGGCGGACGGGUGAGUAACACGUAGGUAACCUGCCCAGAAGCGGGGGACAACAUUUGGAAACAGAUGCUAAUACCGCAUAACAACGUUGUUCGCAUGAACAACGCUUAAAAGAUGGCUUCUCGCUAUCACUUCUGGAUGGACCUGCGGUGCAUUAGCUUGUUGGUGGGGUAAUGGCCUACCAAGGCGAUGAUGCAUAGCCGAGUUGAGAGACUGAUCGGCCACAAUGGGACUGAGACACGGCCCAUACUCCUACGGGAGGCAGCAGUAGGGAAUCUUCCACAAUGGGCGCAAGCCUGAUGGAGCAACACCGCGUGAGUGAAGAAGGGUUUCGGCUCGUAAAGCUCUGUUGUUAAAGAAGAACACGUAUGAGAGUAACUGUUCAUACGUUGACGGUAUUUAACCAGAAAGUCACGGCUAACUACGUGCCAGCAGCCGCGGUAAUACGUAGGUGGCAAGCGUUAUCCGGAUUUAUUGGGCGUAAAGAGAGUGCAGGCGGUUUUCUAAGUCUGAUGUGAAAGCCUUCGGCUUAACCGGAGAAGUGCAUCGGAAACUGGAUAACUUGAGUGCAGAAGAGGGUAGUGGAACUCCAUGUGUAGCGGUGGAAUGCGUAGAUAUAUGGAAGAACACCAGUGGCGAAGGCGGCUACCUGGUCUGCAACUGACGCUGAGACUCGAAAGCAUGGGUAGCGAACA